UGAGGAAUAUUGGUCAAUGGAGGAAACUCUGAACCAGCCAAGUCGCGUGAAGGAUGACGGUCCUAUGGAUUGUAAACUUCUUUAGUAGGCGAGUAAGGAUAGGUACGUGUACCUAUUAGAAAGUAGCCUAAGAAUAAGUAUCGGCUAACUCCGUGCCAGCAGCCGCGGUAAUACGGAGGAUACGAGCGUUAUCCGGAUUUAUUGGGUUUAAAGGGAGCGUAGGCCGUUUGGUAAGCGUGUUGUGAAAUGUAGGAGCUCAACUUCUAGAUUGCAGCGCGAACUGUCAGACUUGAGUGCGCACAACGUAGGCGGAAUUCAUGGUGUAGCGGUGAAAUGCUUAGAUAUCAUGAAGAACUCCGAUUGCGAAGGCAGCUUACGGGAGCGCAACUGACGCUGAAGCUCGAAGGUGCGGGUAUCGAACAGG
RNAcentral lists this ribosomal RNA (424 nucleotides) under Verrucomicrobiota bacterium. RNAcentral's name for it is "Verrucomicrobia bacterium partial 16S ribosomal RNA". It matches the Rfam family "Bacterial small subunit ribosomal RNA", at positions 355 to 776 of the family's 1533-position model. Lineage: Bacteria; Pseudomonadati; Verrucomicrobiota. The record is from RNAcentral.